GAGCUCCCCACGAGCCCCAGCCCUGGGCUGGUCCAGACCCAGAGCCUCAGCCAGGACCUGCCCUGCUCUGUGAGGGGCUCACCAGGCUGCUGAGCUUGGGCCGUGGGCAUUGAGCACUGCUGAACCCUCGGAUUUGGGGCUAGCAGGGGUGAAACCCUGCAAAACAUUGGGCAGGAACAGGUUAAAACGAUGAGCACCUUUCCUAAUAGCCAAAAGACUCACAGCUGCUGGCAGUGAGCCUCCAAUUGGGCUUUAAGGAGGCAGUGGGAGCUGAGGGGAUCAGUGGGGUCACCUGCUGCCCCAAAGGGAAUAAAGAUGCAGCCAGGGUAGCCCUGGGGAGCUGUUGGAGAGAGGAUGGUGGAAGGGGGCUUGCUGCUUGCCUGGCAUCAGCGGUUUGGGACCAGGAUGGAGAUGGGGAUCCAGCGAGCCCAGCACAGCCUGGCAGCGGUGCCUCGGGCUGGAUCCAGGCCUGCAAGCACAAAAGCUUCUCUAACACAAGGUGGAAAACGUUGGCAAGUGGUUUCCUCCGUCCUGGUGCAAGGAGCCAUCCCUGCCUGCUCUUCUCCCCACAGGCAGCCGUCCCUGCUGUUGGGUUUGAAGCUUCUUAAGCAUCACGGAGAGCAGACUCACGAGCUGUUUUUUUCCAAACAGUGCAAAUGAGCCAUGAACACCGCUAAUCCUGAGGUCGUUUUUAUCCUGCACACAAAUAAUGAGAAGCUGAAGAAGUCACCAAAUGGCUCCAUGGACACUUGCUUCCAGCCAAGACUGGAAUCUGCUGCAGUCCCAGAAUUUAUGGGGUAGCUCAGUUCACCACUAAAAUUUUUAUGAGUCGGUAUCUUCUGGAAAAGUAAUGGGGAAACGAAGCCCAAGAGGCCCAGAGCCUCGUCCUGCUGCAGCCAGAGGAGCUGGGACCUGCAGGGACGUGGCUGAGGAGUGGCCAGCAGGGACAGAAAACAGGAAAGUGCCUCCUGAUGGAUGCAACCAGCACAGACUUGUGUUUCAGGGUGCUUCGUUAAUGCUGCCGAGUUACCUGAGUGUGAGUCAAAUUUGUCACGCUGCUAUUAGUCUUGGGGAGCAGAAGGUUGUGAUUCACGUCUCCUGGAUUUUUCCUCUGAAUAAGAUUAGUGCAGCCCAAUUAUCACCUAAUGAGUUGUAAGCAGCUCUUCCAGCCUGAUGCACAAGCCCAUCAACUUUCAGGGCUAAAGCUGCAGCCACGAGUGUUUUCUGUCAUCACCCUCAGCAUCAUUCCCAGAAGGAAAAUAGAAGCAGUCACGUCCAGGGAGCCUUUGCCUCGCUGUCCUUAGGACUCACCCAGCCCUGAGAUAACUGGCUGGCGAGAUAACCAAAUGUUGUGCUGGGUUUCUGUAAGGCGCGGGUGACCCUCAUUUCCACAUGUCUCCAUCCCCUUAAUUGCUUCGUUCUCCUCCAACCUCUGAGCUUGUUAAGCCCAGUGGUUUUGCUCUGCACAUCACAAGCUGUUCCUGUGCUUGAAAAGAUUCAGUUAAAUGCCUUUUGCUGCUUUUGUAUUGGAAAUUUAUGCAAAAUUUAUAAACAAAAAAGUCCUGAACAGAAAUCUCACUUUUUUUUUUUCUUCUUCUAAAAAUAUUCAGAGCAGGACUUGUGGAACAUCAGGAAUAAUGACUCAAUCCAGCUAAAUUUUCAACAGUAAGGAGAAAAAAAGAACCUCUUGAGAACGGCACGUUGAGAAAUGACUACAUUACAUAUAAAAAAGAAAAAGAGUGUGUAAAACUUCCUAACUUAUUAAAUUUCCUGCCACGGGCCUAUUAAAUGGGGUGGAAGGGAGCCGCAGAGCCCUCCUCCUCCUCCUGCUGCCCAGCCCCACAGUGGGGAUGUGAUGGGGACUGCGUGUCCCUGCCACGGGGCCUCGUUCUGCACCCAUCACAGAUCAGAGCCCGAGGGGAGAAGUGCAGGAAGGGAAACUUGGAGGAAAAGUCCCCUUUGGUGCAGGGCCAGUGCCCGGAGCGCCGAGCCACGCAGCAACCGGCCGGGGGAGCGAGGUUUGUCUGCUCGGCCGCUGAGUGCUGGGCUUGGCACCUCGAGCUGUGCAUCUUGUGCUCACUCCCUGCUCAGGGCUUCUUGGUGCAGGCUCAGGUAAAGCAGAGGAUGCCUGUGCAUUGCUCAGAGCACCCCACGUCCAUCACACCAAAGAAAAGCGCAGCUAGCUGUCAUUUCCAAGGAAAGGAAAGCCUGGAGAAUUGGUGCACUAGGAACACUUAAUUCUGGAUUCAUUUUCUUUUCUUUAUUUUUUUUUUUUGCUUUAAAUUUUUGUUGGCAUUUACAACCUUGGCCAAGAUCAGGGCCUAUUUCUGAGCCUGCCCAUCGCUGAAGAUCCCCUGCUCCAUCCCGGUGUGCGUGGUGCAGAAGCAUCACUCCUGGUGAGGGCACCAGGAGAGGAUGCAGCCGCAGCUGGAGGAGCAGCCGUGCCGGGGGCUGAAUGCCAACACACCUGGGAACCACGUCUGGACACCGAGUGUGCCAGGAGCAGCACCGUGGGGCCAGGCCAGGAGCUUCCCUGCACGGAGCAGGCUUCGCCCUGCUCUGUUUGCUAUUCUCCUGCAAAACAGGCUGCCUUGUCAAUAUUCCCAGCAGGUGCCACGCGCAGGAUACGGCAGGUUAUUUAUAGCCAGUUCAUUUUCAUUUUCCUCCUAGCAGGGAUGAGAUCCUACACAAAGAUUUGGCUCCUCGGGGAAUCUGUCUCAUUUCCACCCCAGGAGAGCUCGGCGCCUUACGGAGACGUGAGCUGGCAGCGGCCCGGGGCUCACGGCCCACUGAGGGUUUGUGCUGCUGCUGUUCCUGCCGCUCCUGCAGCUCCUCUCCAGUUCCCACCACUGCACACACCACGCUCCAGUGCCACCCGAUGUGUCGUGGUGGCACCACUCGUGUCCCUGUAGCCGCUCGCUGCAGCACAGCACCCGGCGAGCAUCCCACACGCUCUCCCAGAAAGGUGCUCCGUGAGGAUUUGGGGUUUCUUCACCUUUUAGUGGCUGGCAUGAGGCCACCCGGGCUAUUCACUGAGCAUCUCUGGCCACCUCUCCUGGCCAAGGGCUGCUGCAGCCGGCAGUGAUGCCUGAAGGAAAAGGGACCCGACUUUCUGCUGCCCGACCGCAGCGGUGGCACCAGUGUGCCCGCACUGGAGGGGUGCCCAGCGCCCCCAGCACCUCCACCAGUGGUUCCU
Anas platyrhynchos (mallard) is the source of this 3196-nucleotide non-coding RNA. NCBI's taxonomy places the organism in Eukaryota, Metazoa, Chordata, Aves, Anseriformes, Anatidae. The record is from RefSeq and is a predicted model, not a curated record.